Molecule: transfer RNA, 77 nt
Filed under: Coriobacteriaceae bacterium
Lineage: Bacteria; Bacillati; Actinomycetota; Coriobacteriia; Coriobacteriales; Coriobacteriaceae
Also listed under: 3 other names
Description: tRNA-Arg
Rfam family: tRNA
About the family: Transfer RNA (tRNA) molecules are approximately 80 nucleotides in length. Their secondary structure includes four short double-helical elements and three loops (D, anti-codon, and T loops).
Source: RNAcentral
GUCCCCUUAGCUCAGCUGGAUAGAGCGUUUGCCUCCGGAGCAAAAGGCCGCAGGUUCGAAUCCUGUAGGGGGCACCA